UCUCUAUGAUGUCUCAAUAGAUCCUGCUGACCCUUCACUGUGUACUCACUAGAACAGAAGGGAAGUGAAGUAAUCUAUGGCUGAGAGA
Struthio camelus australis is the source of this 88-nucleotide small nucleolar RNA. The record is from Ensembl. Lineage: Eukaryota; Metazoa; Chordata; Aves; Struthioniformes; Struthionidae.